GGGCUGUACAUAUCUGUGGGCUCUUCCUCCUGCUCCUGUCACCACAACAACUAGUGUGUGGAGCACAACUAGCCUGACCCUCCUAAAUGCAGCAGUCCAAUCCCCUAAAAAAAGGAAGCUGUUUCCAGCAUUAGAAACAUGGUAUGUAUAGAAAACUCAAACAGGAAGACAAAACAUCAAGAAAAUUUUUAAGAUACAGGGG
Long non-coding RNA from Gorilla gorilla gorilla (western lowland gorilla), 202 nucleotides. RefSeq lists it as uncharacterized. The transcript is spliced from 3 exons. Lineage: Eukaryota; Metazoa; Chordata; Mammalia; Primates; Hominidae. The record is from RefSeq and is a predicted model, not a curated record.